Molecule: ribosomal RNA, 1385 nt
Filed under: Rothia sp. (in: high G+C Gram-positive bacteria)
Lineage: Bacteria; Bacillati; Actinomycetota; Actinomycetes; Micrococcales; Micrococcaceae
Description: Rothia sp. partial 16S ribosomal RNA
Source: RNAcentral
UGCAGUCGAACGAUGAAGCCCAGCUUGCUGGGUGGAUUAGUGGCGAACGGGUGAGUAAUACGUGAGUAACCUGCCUUUAACUCUGGGAUAAGCCUUGGAAACGGGGUCUAAUACCGGAUACGACCAACCCUCGCAUGAGGUGUUGGUGGAAAGGGAUUUUGUACUGGUUUUMGAUGGGCUCACGGCYURUCAGCUUGUUGGUGAGGUAACGGCUCACCAAGGCGACGACGGGUAGCCGGCCUGAGAGGGUGACCGGCCASACUGGGACUGAGRCAYGGCCCAGACUCCUACGGGAGGCAGCAGUGGGGAAUAUUGCACAAUGGGCRCRAGCCWGAUGCWGCRACGCCGCGUGAGGGAUGACGGCCUUCGGGUUGUAAACCUCUUUCAGCAGGGGAGAAGCGAAAGUGACGGUACCUGCAGAAGAAGCGCCGGCUAACUACGUGCCAGCAGCCGCGGUAAUACGUAGGGCGCGAGCGUUGUCCGGAAUUAUUGGGCGUAAAGAGCUUGUAGGCGGUUUGUCGCGUCUGCUGUGAAAGCCCGGGGCUUAACCCCGGGUUUGCAGUGGGUACGGGCAGACUAGAGUGCAGUAGGGGAGACUGGAAUUCCUGGUGUAGCGGUGAAAUGCGCAGAUAUCAGGAGGAACACCAAUGGCGAAGGCAGGUCUCUGGGCUGUAACUGACGCUGAGAAGCGAAAGCAUGGGGAGCGAACAGGAUUAGAUACCCUGGUAGUCCAUGCCGUAAACGUUGGGCACUANGUGUGGGGAACAUUCCACGUUUUCCGCGCCGUANCUAACGCAUUAAGUGCCCCGCCNGGGGAGUACGGCCGCAAGGNUAAAACUCAAAGAAAUUGACGGGGGCCCGCACAANCGGCGGANCANGCGGAUUAAUUCGAUGCAACGCGAAGAACNUUACCANGGCUUGACAUAUACUANACCGCCUNANANAUGGGGUUUCCCUUNNGGGCUGGUAUACAGGUGGUGCAUGGUUGUCGUUCAGCUCGUGUCGUGAGAUGUUGGGUUAAGUCCCGCCAACGAGCGCAACCCUCGUUCUAUGUUGCCAGCACGUAAUGGUGGGGACUCAUAGGAGACUGCCGGGGUAACUCGGAGRRAGGUGGGGAKGACGUYAAAUCAUCAUGCCCCUUAUGUCUUGGGCUUCAYGCAUGCUACAAUGGCCGGUACAAAGGGUUGCGRUACURUGAGGWUGAGCUAAUCCCAAAAWGCCGGUCUCAGUUCGSAUURRGGUCURCAACUCGACCCCAUGAAGUCGGAGUCGCUAGUAAUCGCAGAUCAGCAACGCUGCGGUGAAUACGUUCCCGGGCCUUGUACACACCGCCCGUCAAGUCACGAAAGUUGGUAACACCCGAAGCCGAUGGCCUAACCCCUUUG